AGAGCGUGUGUGGGAGAGGGCGGGGUUGUGUGGAUGGGAGUGGCAGAAGAACCAUGAAGGUAAUUGGCUGGUGAGAAUGGUGGGCGGGUCCUAGGCUUAGCGACCCAGGUGAUUGGUGGGUUUUGCCGUUUCCGCCACGUUGACGCCCGAUCUUGGGCGGCGGUUAGCUUGGUUUGCUUUCGCGCGUGGGGGAAAGUAACGGGUGGGCAGCAGUUUGAAGACGUGUGGGGGAAAGCGCAGGAGAUACCCCAUUACAUCGCCCAGCUUGGCUAGCUUUAGCCAGUUUGUAAUGUGGACGGAUUGCAGCUUGUGGAGGGGCCGGAGGCAGAGAGCGAAGACGCGCGAAAUGGGAAAUGUAGCUUGGCUCCUGUGGAGGUGGCGCCGAUGGGGCCCCUGAGGUUCUCUGACCUAUCCUGGUUACCCACCGAUGACGUCUGUGGCGAGGUUUUUGGAAUUUGAAGUGUUGUCAAAGAAGAAAAGACAAGGAUGACUGCAGAGCGAGAAUCCCCAACUAUAGCUCCUCAUUUCAGCUCUACUGGUUUGCAGACACUUGCAUUAAAGCGUUUGGAAUACGGCAAGUUGUUCAACCUGACAGACCUGAAGCUGGAAAGGGGAUAAUUUAUUAAGGGUCACCAGAAUGGACUGAUUAAAAUAGAAUGGCUUAAUUUGAAA
Molecule: long non-coding RNA, 672 nt
Organism: Dipodomys ordii (Ord's kangaroo rat)
Lineage: Eukaryota; Metazoa; Chordata; Mammalia; Rodentia; Heteromyidae
Exons: 2
Source: RefSeq, a predicted model, not a curated record